CUUAAAUUUGUGGUGCCGCCUCGCUCUUUCAAACAGGUAUGUUUCGGACUUACAACAAGGGGGCAGUGGUGAUCCCCGCGCUGGUGCCUUGCUCAUCCCUUUCUGCAAAGCCUUGUUAGGGCUGCCAGCUGCUCAGCAGGCAUUGCAAACAUGGCUGGUUGCCCAGCAACCCAGAAACACCAUGUGGACACCCAGCAGGAGGUGAGGGGGGAGUCGGGAGGGGGGAUAACACCUGCCAGAAACGUGGCUCAAUGAAACAGAAAGGUCCAGGAGGCCUGUCAGAAGAACAGCUCUCUUAAGGAAAGAGCCGUAGAGCAAUUAUGCUGAGCUUUGCCAGAGAGGCAGCAGAGGAGAAGGAGAUGCCUGGCUGCCUGGUGGGCACUCCUCUCAGAAAGAGAGGCCUAGAGGAGGCUCCCCUCGACCUCUCUUAGAAACGACCAGCUUUCCAGGAGCUGUGAGGGCUGAGGUUACUGCAAUGGGGCUUAUGGACAGCUGGAUUAGAAAGCUGUCUACCUUCUUUUGAAGCUUGAACUGAAAGGAGACUGGUGGUGGGAGAGGAAAGGAAAGCUCCUUUUAGGGUCUGAGGUGUUUCCCACAACAUUAGCUGAUCUCUGUGCUCAUGAUCCUGAGGCACCUACUAAAUCCUGUGGUCUUGAUCCUGAGGCACUCACCAUGCUAUUGCUGCCCCAUCUCUGAAGUCCUAAUGUAAGCAACUGAUUGGAUAGUCUGCUCUACUGAUGACAACCUGUCAUGACAAUCGCUGUGGAGAACAAGAAUGUUCAAUAGAAUGAGUAGGAACUCCAUUAUGUUCUUAAGAUCUGUCACUGAGGAAUCCGAGAGGCUAUAGCCUGGAAACAAGAUGUCCCUUCAAGAAGCCUCGUGUUGUUGUUAUCCCCCUCUGCUGUAAAAGAACAUGGGCACCAAAGCUUGAUACGUAACAAUAGCAACAACAGUGCAGGACUUUAUACAGCUGGUGGAGAUUUGGAAGGUUUGUUCUUGCCUUUGCAAGCAUGGACAAGGAAGAGUUGCCCAUCUCACUUUUUCUGCUUAUCUCCUGAGCUGUGCAUGUGCAGAAAAAUCCAUAAUAAAAUAAUCUGUAUCAGUUCUCUAAAAUCUUUAAUCAAAU
This 1126-nucleotide long non-coding RNA is filed under the name Pogona vitticeps (central bearded dragon). Its description in RNAcentral is "lncRNA (ENSPVIG00000001519.1)". The record is from RNAcentral. Lineage: Eukaryota; Metazoa; Chordata; Lepidosauria; Squamata; Agamidae.